CCUACGGGUGGCUGCAGUGGGGAAUAUUGCACAAUGUGCGCAAGCCUGAUGCAGCCAUGCCGCGUGUGUGAAGAAGGCCUUCGGGUUGUAAAGCACUUUCAGCGGGGAGGAAGGCGGUGAGGUUAAUAACCUCAUCGAUUGACGUUACCCGCAGAAGAAGCACCGGCUAACUCCGUGCCAGCAGCCGCGGUAAUACGGAGGGUGCAAGCGUUAAUCGGAAUUACUGGGCGUAAAGCGCACGCAGGCGGUCUGUCAAGUCGGAUGUGAAAUCCCCGGGCUCAACCUGGGAACUGCAUUCGAAACUGGCAGGCUAGAGUCUUGUAGAGGGGGGUAGAAUUCCAGGUGUAGCGGUGAAAUGCGUAGAGAUCUGGAGGAAUACCGGUGGCGAAGGCGGCCCCCUGGACAAAGACUGACGCUCAGGUGCGAAAGCGUGGGGAGCAAACAGGAUUAGAUACCCCGGUAGUC
Molecule: ribosomal RNA, 465 nt
Filed under: uncultured Klebsiella sp.
Lineage: Bacteria; Pseudomonadati; Pseudomonadota; Gammaproteobacteria; Enterobacterales; Enterobacteriaceae
Description: bacterial SSU rRNA
Rfam family: Bacterial small subunit ribosomal RNA
Source: RNAcentral